This 87-nucleotide microRNA precursor is filed under the name Cavia aperea (Brazilian guinea pig). Its description in RNAcentral is "miRNA (ENSCAPG00000003831.1)". The record is from RNAcentral. Lineage: Eukaryota; Metazoa; Chordata; Mammalia; Rodentia; Caviidae.
UGUGCCGUCUUCUGUAAGAAGCUGAGAACUCAAGCACGAUGGCACAGGCCUGUCACCCCAGCACUCAGGAGGCUGAGGCAGGAGGAU